This 568-nucleotide ribosomal RNA is filed under the name uncultured archaeon. Its description in RNAcentral is "bacterial SSU rRNA". It matches the Rfam family "Archaeal small subunit ribosomal RNA", at positions 326 to 899 of the family's 1478-position model. The record is from RNAcentral.
CGGGGUGCAGCAGGCGCGAAAACUUUACAAUGCCGGCAACGGCGAUAAGGGAACCUCGAGUGCCAGGUUACAAAUCUGGCUGUCGUGAUGCCUAAAAAGCAUUGCAUAGCAAGGGCCGGGCAAGACCGGUGCCAGCCGCCGCGGUAACACCGGCGGCUCGAGUGGUAACCGUUAUUAUUGGGUCUAAAGGGUCUGUAGCCGGCCGGAUAAGUCUCUUGGGAAAUCUGGCAGCUUAACUGUCAGGCUUUCAGGAGAUACUGUCUGGCUCGAGGCCGGGAGAGGUGAGAGGUACUUCAGGGGUAGGGGUGAAAUCUUGUAAUCCUUGAAGGACCACCAGUGGCGAAGGCGUCUCACCAGAACGGACCUGACGGCAAGGGACGAAAGCUAGGGGCACGAACCGGAUUAGAUACCCGGGUAGUCCUAGCCGUAAACGAUACUCGCUAGGUGUCGGCCACGGUGCGACCGUGGUCGGUGCCGUAGGGAAGCCGUGAAGCGAGCCACCUGGGAAGUACGGCCGCAAGGCUGAAACUUAAAGGAAUUGGCGGGGGAGCACAAGGGCGAAUUCGCG